CGAGAGGGCGAGCCAAGUCGUGAGGCGGAGCUAAUCCCUUAAAGCCAUUCUCAGUUCGGAUUGUAGGCUGAAACUCGCCUACAUGAAGCUGGAGUUACUAGUAAUCGCAGAUCAGAAUGCUGCGGUGAAUGCGUUCCCGGGUCUUGUACACACCGCCCGUCACACCACGGAAGUUGGGGGCGCCCGAAGCCACUUAGCUAACCCUUUUGGGAAGCGAGUGUCGAAGGUGAAAUCAAUAACUGGGGUGAAGUCGUAACAAGGUACC
This 265-nucleotide ribosomal RNA is filed under the name uncultured bacterium. RNAcentral's name for it is "partial 16S ribosomal RNA". It matches the Rfam family "Bacterial small subunit ribosomal RNA", at positions 1239 to 1500 of the family's 1533-position model. The record is from RNAcentral.